GAGAAAUUAGUUAAAAAAUAACACUGAAAUGUCAAAUCAAAAUUAUCAAAAGAUAUUUCUCA
This 62-nucleotide transfer RNA is filed under the name Anaplecta sp. 1 ZQW-2020. RNAcentral describes it as "tRNA-Asp". Lineage: Eukaryota; Metazoa; Arthropoda; Insecta; Blattodea; Anaplectidae. The record is from RNAcentral.